This is a small nucleolar RNA of Doryrhamphus excisus (bluestripe pipefish), 144 nucleotides long. RefSeq annotates it as small nucleolar RNA SNORA79. NCBI's taxonomy places the organism in Eukaryota, Metazoa, Chordata, Actinopteri, Syngnathiformes, Syngnathidae. The record is from RefSeq and is a predicted model, not a curated record.
UGACUUCAGUUCCUCUUCCUGUCUGCAGUCCAACAGGAAGGUUUGAUGAGGUCACAGAAGAAUCGGUCUUUUUCACCCAGAAAGCUCGCAGGCUCCCCGGCCACGGUUGCAAACGGCUUCCUGGUUUUGCGAGACCGAACAAAG